This 301-nucleotide ribosomal RNA is filed under the name uncultured bacterium. Its description in RNAcentral is "partial 16S ribosomal RNA". It matches the Rfam family "Bacterial small subunit ribosomal RNA", at positions 509 to 809 of the family's 1533-position model. The record is from RNAcentral.
CAGUAGCCACGGGAAUACGUAGGGUGCAAGCGUUAAUCGGAAUUACUGGGCGUAAAGCGUGCGCAGGCGGUUAUAUAAGACAGAUGUGAAAUCCCCGGGCUCAACCUGGGAACUGCAUUUGUGACUGUAUAGCUAGAGUACGGCAGAGGGGGAUGGAAUUCCGCGUGUAGCAGUGAAAUGCGUAGAUAUGCGGAGGAACACCGAUGGCGAAGGCAAUCCCCUGGGCCUGUACUGACGCUCAUGCACGAAAGCGUGGGGAGCAAACAGGAUUAGAUACCCCCGUAGUCCCUGUCUCUUAUAA